This 638-nucleotide long non-coding RNA is filed under the name Dasypus novemcinctus (nine-banded armadillo). RNAcentral describes it as "lncRNA (ENSDNOG00000051185.1)". The record is from RNAcentral. Lineage: Eukaryota; Metazoa; Chordata; Mammalia; Cingulata; Dasypodidae.
GUCUUGCUCCUCAGAACGCUCCUGAGCAGUUGACUCCGGAGUAGUUCCUGGAAGGCCAGUAUCCCAGAGCUAUUUCUCACAGUGUCAGGGCUGCGUGUCCUUGUUUCUCCCCCCUCUUACCCAGAGCAACCUCUGAAUUCUUCUAGCCUGAACCUGCAUUCACACGACAACGUGAAGUCAUGUGGCAUGAAGUCACAUGAUGAUUUCAUUCUAGGUGACUGUGAGGUGACGUGGACCAGAUUCAGUGGGCUCCGCUCUCCUCAGGGACUUAGCAUGGCACAAACGGAACAAUUUAAGGAUUUGAAAAUACUUAUCACACUGGAGUGAAGAAGGAGGCAGAGCUGCUGAGCUGGAAGUCAUUGUUGUCAUUAUAACAAAAGUUAUUGAGGACUCACAAUUCCUGGGCUGGGCCAGGCCCCACCUUGGGGGGUGAGAACUGGAGGAUCGCUGUCAUUCCCCUGACUCUGUGUGAGAUCUGGCUUGAGGGCACGGGCCAGCUCCAGGUGGUUGCUGGAUGGACACGCUCUCCUCAGGAGUGCCGGAUGCCGAGUCCAGGGAGGAGAGAUUUCACAAGCCAGAGGAACCUUAGGCAGGUAGGUGGUUUGGAAAUGGCUGACUUUAUGGCCCCACCUCUGGGU